CCUGGUUUUGUAACUAAAAUGGUUUGGCAGUGAGCGAUUCUUGUUAGGGGAAGAUGCAUAGUAAAGGAUGGUCCACCUAUUAUUUCACUCUUGUUAUGUUGGUGUAUAUCUGGUUUGAUAUUAUCGUUUAAUGGUUUGAGUUUGUGUAGUUUUAGUUAAGCCAAGUCUAUGUGCUGCUUAUGGGAGUUUUUGUGUGUUACAUUAAUAAGGGUGUUGUUGUAAUAUGAUAUUAUUUAGGACUUAAUAGUAAUGUUUAAAUUAGUUUGUUGAUGUGAAAUGAGUUUAGCUCA
RNAcentral lists this ribosomal RNA (290 nucleotides) under Echinococcus canadensis. Its description in RNAcentral is "partial 12S ribosomal RNA". Lineage: Eukaryota; Metazoa; Platyhelminthes; Cestoda; Cyclophyllidea; Taeniidae. The record is from RNAcentral.